This is a long non-coding RNA of Hyalella azteca, 176 nucleotides long. RefSeq lists it as uncharacterized. NCBI's taxonomy places the organism in Eukaryota, Metazoa, Arthropoda, Malacostraca, Amphipoda, Hyalellidae. The record is from RefSeq and is a predicted model, not a curated record. The transcript is spliced from 3 exons.
CCUGAACUUGUGCCGCGGCUUCACGCUCUGCGUCGGCUUCAGCUACAAUGGAGUUUCGUGCGAGCUCAGAGACACCGCGUCCAUCCUCUCCGCGUCGACAGGUUGGGUCACAUACCUCAUCACUCAACAGCCUGACCUCCCACUCCAGGAUCCCUGUGCCAGUAGCCCGUGUCCUG